CAGGUCAGGAAUUUCUACUCCCACACGUCAAGAGGUGAACCACCCCUCACUUCAUCUCUCCCUGACCAGGGUCCCCGGAGACUGGCCACUGGUUUCCAUUUUGUUGUUGCCGUACUUCUGGGAUACCCCCAACAGUGCCCAGGCCUUACACCUGACUCAGGGAUCAUUGCUGCCAGCUGGGGUCAGAGGCCUAUAAGUUUUGCCCAG
Molecule: long non-coding RNA, 207 nt
Organism: Sorex araneus (European shrew)
Lineage: Eukaryota; Metazoa; Chordata; Mammalia; Eulipotyphla; Soricidae
Exons: 2
Source: RefSeq, a predicted model, not a curated record